GAACUGAAGAGUUUGAUCAUGGCUCAGAUUGAACGCUGGCGGCAGGCCUAACACAUGCAAGUCGAGCGGAUGAAGGGAGCUUGCUCCUGGAUUCAGCGGCGGACGGGUGAGUAAUGCCUAGGAAUCUGCCUGGUAGUGGGGGAUAACGUCC
This 151-nucleotide ribosomal RNA is filed under the name Pseudomonas aeruginosa. RNAcentral describes it as "partial 16S ribosomal RNA". It matches the Rfam family "Bacterial small subunit ribosomal RNA", at positions 1 to 151 of the family's 1533-position model. The record is from RNAcentral. Lineage: Bacteria; Pseudomonadati; Pseudomonadota; Gammaproteobacteria; Pseudomonadales; Pseudomonadaceae.